Molecule: ribosomal RNA, 54 nt
Filed under: Monosporascus cannonballus
Lineage: Eukaryota; Fungi; Ascomycota; Sordariomycetes; Xylariales
Description: partial 18S ribosomal RNA
Rfam family: Eukaryotic small subunit ribosomal RNA
Source: RNAcentral
UUAGAGGAAGUAAAAGUCGUAACAAGGUCUCCGUUGGUGAACCAGCGGAGGGAU